This 45-nucleotide non-coding RNA is filed under the name Schistosoma margrebowiei. The record is from RNAcentral. Lineage: Eukaryota; Metazoa; Platyhelminthes; Trematoda; Strigeidida; Schistosomatidae.
AUCUAGUUGACUAGUCCCAAAUAGGACGAGAUGCGCGUCUUGUAU